CAGCCGCGCGGGAAUACGAAGGGGGCUAGCGUUGCUCGGAAUGACUGGGCGUAAAGGGCGCGUAGGCGGUUUUCCAAGUUAGAUGUGAAAUUCCUGGGCUCAACCUGGGGGCUGCAUUUGAUACUGGGAGGCUUGAGUAUGGAAGAGGGUCGUGGAAUUCCCAGUGUAGAGGUGAAAUUCGUAGAUAUUGGGAAGAACGCCGGUGGCGAAGGCGGCGACCUGGUUCAUUACUGACGCUGAGGCGCGAAAGCGUGGGGAGCAAACAGGAUUAGAUACCCCAGUAGUCCCUGUCUCUUAUACA
RNAcentral lists this ribosomal RNA (301 nucleotides) under uncultured bacterium. RNAcentral describes it as "partial 16S ribosomal RNA". It matches the Rfam family "Bacterial small subunit ribosomal RNA", at positions 509 to 808 of the family's 1533-position model. The record is from RNAcentral.